AGAACGAACGCUGGCGGCAUGCCUAAUACAUGCAAGUCGAACGAACACUUCGGUGUUAGUGGCGCACGGGUGCGUAACGCGUGGGAAUCUGCCCUUGGGUUCGGAAUAACAGUUGGAAACGACUGCUAAUACCGGAUGAUAUCGAAAGAUCAAAGAUUUAUCGCCCAGGGAUGAGCCCGCGUAGGAUUAGCUAGUUGGUGAGGUAAAGGCUCACCAAGGCGACGAUCCUUAGCUGGUCUGAGAGGAUGAUCAGCCACACUGGGACUGAGACACGGCCCAGACUCCUACGGGAGGCAGCAGUAGGGAAUAUUGGACAAUGGGCGCAAGCCUGAUCCAGCAAUGCCGCGUGAGUGAUGAAGGCCUUAGGGUUGUAAAGCUCUUUUACCCGAGAUGAUAAUGACAGUAUCGGAGAAUAAGCCCCGAUAACUCCGCGCCAGCAGCCGAC
This 445-nucleotide ribosomal RNA is filed under the name uncultured soil bacterium. RNAcentral's name for it is "bacterial SSU rRNA". It matches the Rfam family "Bacterial small subunit ribosomal RNA", at positions 26 to 518 of the family's 1533-position model. The record is from RNAcentral.